UUUAGGGUUUAGAAAUUUGGUGUUAAGUUAGAGUUUAGGGUUUAGAUUAAUUAGUGUAUUUUAAUUAUAUAUUAAAUAAGGUUUAGGGGUUAGGGGUUAGGGGUUAAGGGUUAGGGAUUUAGGGUUAGGGGUUAGGUUAUGGGUUAGAUGUUAAGAGUUAGGGAUUUAGGGUUUAUAAAAUCAGUGUUAGGUUAGAGUUUAGGGAUUUAGAUUAAUUAGUGUAUUUUAAUU
Molecule: long non-coding RNA, 231 nt
Filed under: Gossypium raimondii (Peruvian cotton)
Lineage: Eukaryota; Viridiplantae; Streptophyta; Magnoliopsida; Malvales; Malvaceae
Description: long non-coding RNA (GRAI_LNC005626)
Source: RNAcentral